CCCAACCCCAUCUCUCUCAUCUCCCCCUUUUUUUUCUUCUUUGCCCCUUUCCCUCUUUUCCCUCCCUCUCUUCUUCCCUUUACGAAUCAAACCCUUCCCCGCCUCUUCUCCUUCUUCUUCUUCUACCUCUUCAUUUUCCCGCAUUUUCAAAAUCAAGAAUCUUCUCUCUUUUCACUGAAACAUAUGGGAAAAUACAUGAGAAAAGCUAAAAUAACAGGGGAUGUAGCAGUGAUGGAGGUGUCACAGGCAACUCCACUCGGUGUUCGCACCAGAGCAAGAACUCUGGCUCUUCAGCGCCUCCACUCUUCCUCCACUCCGCCGCCGCCGUCUGCUUCUGCUUCAGACUCUUGUUACAUUCAGCUUCGUUCCCGCCGCCUUGAGAAACCACCUACCCCACCCUCCGACCACAGAAAGACCAAUAACCUUCUCACAGAGGAAAACCCAAAAUCUGAUUCGAGGUUUCUAGUGUCUGGCUCUGUUGGGUCUGUUUCAAUUACACAAAAAGAUGGUUUCUUGGAUGUUAAUGAAAUUUCAUUUGGAGCCUAGCUCUUCAGCGCCUCCAAUCUUCUUCCACUCCGCCGCCGCCGUCUGCUUCUGCUUCAGACUCUUGUUACCUUCAGCUUCG
This 625-nucleotide long non-coding RNA is filed under the name Nicotiana benthamiana. Its description in RNAcentral is "long non-coding RNA (NBEN_LNC035433)". The record is from RNAcentral. Lineage: Eukaryota; Viridiplantae; Streptophyta; Magnoliopsida; Solanales; Solanaceae.